ACCUGCCUUCCAGCCUGUCCUUGUGUCCCAGCAAGUCUCAGCAAGGCCAUCAUGCUUGAAACCGUCCUCCGAUGUAUCCUCCUUUUCUCACUACUUUUAAUGUGAUCCAGCAGUAUUUGAUUAUGGUCCAAUUCUUUAUUGGAUUAUUGCAUCUCAUGAAGGCUGUGGUUUGCCAGUCAUUAUGAUUGAGUUCAUAUACCUUAUGUUGCUGAGGAAGUUGCAUUUGACUAUCUUACCAAAAAGUAUAGGCCCCUUGACCCACUGCUGCCUACUGGAUUAGUGUCCAGAAAACCAAUCACUUUCUUCUAAAGCAGGACAACUAACUCUAAGAUGCAAACCUUUGCCUCGUCCGCAUUCGUGAGCUGCCCACAGAGCAGGAACCCUUCAUACUGGCUCCAGGGAACCACGGGCUCUGGGAGGUCUCGGAGGUAGAGCUUUAACAGGGAAGCCACAGUGUGCACAUCUGUGUCUCUGGAAGAAAAUAAGCAACACUCUGUGAAACUCUUUGAAAGAAAAACUUUAGGAUGUUCCUCUCUUCCAUCCUGAUGAUUCAGUGAAUAGAACCAUAAAUUACAAAGGGAGAUUUUGCAGAGGAGUAGAGUCUAAUAAAGAAGAAUCAGACCAAAACAUUUUUGUUAAUUCGCCCUUCUGGAACAACAUUCUUGAAUAAAUGUUCCUCUGUCUCUUCCACCCAACUACCUCAAAGAUAAUGCAAGUUCUGAAGUUCUGAAUGAAAAAAAUUAAGUGAUAUUUACUAUUCUACAGCGACUUGUUGAGGCUCCACGAAUGAUGUGGCCAGUCCUGCUUGGGACGCUUCAUUGUUAAGAGAUCUGGUAGAGAAGGAGACUUCAUGAAAGCAGACUCAGAAAGAGUAACUAAUGAGGAAGUGAUUUUUAUCUGGAAUCUUACUUUUUAUCUGUGAAGACACAAAGUUGACUACAUUAUUAAUCACUUUCAUUACCAUGCUGGGCAUUUCAGGCCACAGAAGAACGAGAUUGGGAUAAUUUUGUGCUGGCCAGAAAACUGGUUAAAUCCAGGGUUUUCUGGGGAGAAAUAAUGAAAAUAGACCACAUUUAUUGGUGGAAAUGCAACUGCAUUGUCCGCGGGCACUCUCUACUGGCUCUAAAUCAGAAUAACAAUGUGGCAUUAGAAGCUUGAUUUGUGGCUUUUUGGAAGGAGCAUAUAGACUUGAAUGAACAUGUAAAAACUUGCCCCUUGUAGAUAUCUAGGGGCUAUGGCUCAAGUGGGGCAAGAAAAGCUUUUGUUACAGAACAAACUCUGUGUCAGCUUUUUAAACGUCACAGUCACAGUCACACUGCAUAUGUCUAAUUCCCUUUAGUGGGAGAGCCCUGCUUCCUCAGAGUGUCUCUAAUGAGACUGUCAGAAUCCUAAUCUUUUUCAUCUUCUUAAUUCUGAGCCUAGUAAAGUGUCCAGCACAUAGUAGGUGUCCAAUAAAUGUGUGUCAAUCAGAAUAGAAGAAAAAUGAGCAAAACGGUACAAUCUCGCAAAAGGGAGAGGGACUAAUUGUACCUGGGUAAUUCAGGAAGCCUUCCCAGGACAAGCUGGGUGGUGGCCCUGGUAAUGGGGAGGGAGAGAUAGAGUUGGAAAAAAUAUAUAUAUAUCCAGAAAGCAGAAUAGCAAACUUACGGGCCAGAUAUAGGACCCACAAGGGUAGGAAUUUUUGUGUGAUUUUAGAAAGAAGUACCUUGCAAUACACUGACAGAUGUGGCUCCCGAUCUUUCUGGAGAAAAUGUGAGCAAGACUAAAAGAUUUCAUAAAAACAGAUGGAGGAAGCUAGCAUGACAGUUUCAAGGAGGCUGAAAAAUGAAUUUGGAAGGAUUUCUAACCAUGAGUACUAAAAAGAAAGAAUAAUGACUCCAGGUUUAAAGAUAUUUUCUCCUAAAUCAAUUUUUGCCAUAAAUUGUGUGGCUUCUCAGGAAAUUCAAUUCAAGAAACACACAAAGCACCUAACACAAUUACAGCUUUGUUUCCCUGGGCCUAGCGACCUGAUUCUAGGGUUACUUUCCUGGUUUUCACACUGAGUUCCAUGUCCCACGAGCCCCCUGAGUCCCAGACAAAUCAGGCCAGCUGUCACUGUACCUGGGAAAGAGAAUGAGGAACGCUCACAGGAAGAAGAUCAGUGCCAAAAUCAAGAUCAAACAGAUUGGUCUCAGGACAGAGCACAAGGGCUGGGCUGAGAAUGGACUGGAGGUGACAACUCUACAUCUGCUAUCAUUUUUACUCUGAGAUGUCUGCAUAAGGAGAUUCCUCACUCACUAAUAAAGUGGAUUUCUGGCUUCUGAAUGACCAGGUGCAUAGAAUCAAAUGCAGAAUGACAGUCAAAGAGGAAGAAUGCAUGCACAAGAAUCUUUGGGUAGCAACAGCAGAAUUGAGGACAAGAAAGGCAGGAGCCUCAUUUUGAAGGUCCUGCUCUUCCCCCACAAUUAUAUCUACAAAUAAUGAUCUGAAAGAGAAUGGUAGGCCAGGUACAGGACUCUUACAGCUAAUAGGAAAAACUGCUCUGCCACUGCUGUAACCCACAUGUAAGUGAUCACAAGCAGUUAAACACUGAGCCCCUGAAGCCCAAACUAACAACUUCCAACCUCACUUCAGUGACCAGAGGUACGCAUGACAGUAGGAGAUGGUGGGCAGCUCUGGAGGAGGAAGCACUAAGUCAUGGAGGAGGGUCUUCCACACAGCAAACAACCCAGAGUCACUCUUUGCCUACCCAAAGCAAGGAAAGUUUGAGGAACUGCUCCUGUCAUAGCACAGAGACAAUGACAUUUCUAAGGCAGGAAUUCUGCAGGAAACUUACCAGAAGCUAUCAUUAUCCUUAUUAGAAAGUCACAACUCAGGCAUUUUACUUAUUUGGAAAAUAACUGGC
Molecule: long non-coding RNA, 2884 nt
Organism: Pan troglodytes (chimpanzee)
Lineage: Eukaryota; Metazoa; Chordata; Mammalia; Primates; Hominidae
Exons: 4
Source: RefSeq, a predicted model, not a curated record